This is a long non-coding RNA of Bactrocera dorsalis (oriental fruit fly), 1021 nucleotides long. RefSeq lists it as uncharacterized. The record is from RefSeq and is a predicted model, not a curated record. The transcript has 4 exons. Lineage: Eukaryota; Metazoa; Arthropoda; Insecta; Diptera; Tephritidae.
CUCACGACUCGCCAAUAGCUUCCGAUCUCUUGACAAUCGUCAGAAAUGGCCCCUUCGGUAUGUUAUAACAAAGUGUGCGAACAACUUAGAGGUGUGAAUAAUGAGAGGUAAUGUCCCUUCUUAAAAACGGAAAAAAAAAAUUCGCGCGUACAAACGCGGCGAAGUAAGUAGGAAAUAAAGCAACUACGAUAAAGAAACGCACCGAGUUGUUUCUGCUUAAAGAACAGGCAUUUAGUUUUUAUACGAUUUCGCUGCUAUAAAAUUUGGCAUUUCUUUUAAAUAUGAAUCUCGGUUUGAGGGUUAAGUUAAAAAAAAAUACCUUAAUACGAAAUAUGUUGCAGAGAAUGAAACAGUUUUGUUUACUUAACGGUUCUUUGUACAGUAUUUAAUUGUCAGAAGAAUGAAACUUGGAAAGUAUUCGCUCGCACUCUCAAGAAUCUAGGUACAGUGGAAAUAGAUAAAUGAAAUUAAUUGCAUAAAAAGAAAUUAAGUAUCACGAAAAGAAAUAUUGAAAUAUAUUUAAAUAUCUGAAAGUUGCCGUAAUCAACAACAAAACUUUUCUGUCUUGAAUGGAAAAUCUUUCCACACAAUAAUUGUUUCUAAUGCUGAUAGAAAUCCAUUCUUUUCUUCAAAGCUUAAAACUUCUUACUCAUUACGAAAUUUCACAAAUUGUUCGCCAAAACUAAGGAGACUGUAGUACAAAUAAGAACAAACUGAUAUUACCAGAUCAUGCCUGCCUUCUACAUAGUAAACAAUAUUUCUAUAUUAAAUCAUUUCAACGAACAAAUUCUCCAUUACUAAAUUAAAAAAAAAAACUCUGGGGACUGACCCAGUCACUCUAAAAUGCCAUACAUCUUAAGAGGAUGCUCUCUUCAAAACGGCCGCCAACUAGGCAGCAGAGACUCAAUGCUAAGUUCUAAUACGCUAUUAGUGCAUGUUAUAUACUGUUACAACAAGAAAGGAGGAUAAUGUAAUACGAUUUGGUAGCACAAAAAAAUUACCGCGGUACAAACCACUUAUA